CCACAUCAAAGCUAUUCCCGCAUGCCUUGCUGGACAAUUUCUUCAAGCACCUCCCAUUGCACCUCCACUUUUCAUGUGCUGGCUUGGGCCGUAACAGGUUUGUUUCCAUUCAGCUGAAGCACCGGCUUCUCUUUCUCCAAGAACCUCUCCAAACUUCAUUGCCACGGCUAAAGCCCAACAGUGUAUAUUGGAAGCCCAAUGAUUCAACUUGUUGAGAUUCUCAGUGUGCACCUGCCAUUGCUUUUCAGUCCUUAACCUCUUUAAUGGACGUGCAGGCCCUUUCAUUCUAAAAGCCGAAAUGACAAAAUUUUUAUAUCAUGAAGCACCACCAUGAGCUAUAUGAAUGUUCAAAGAAAGUUGCAAUAUAUGUGUGGCGGCUUUUCAAUCUAGGGCAUCGUCCCUUUCUUUUUCUUUUUUCUUUUCUUUUUUUUUUCUUUUUUCUUUUCUUUUUUUUUUUCUUCUUUUUUCUUUUUUUCUUUUUUUUUUCUUUUCUUCUUUUUUUUUUCUUUCUUUUCUUUUCUUUUUUUUUCUUUUUUUUAAAUAAAAAUAAAAUACUCUAAACCUAAAUCACUAUUUGGGCCUCACAUCUUUUACCAAAAAUUGGCCCAAGAUGCAAAAGUUUGUCCAAAAAGUUUUAAACAAUUAAAAUACAAUAUAACUAAAAUUUAAAAUGUCUAAUUAGAGAGUAUUG
This 691-nucleotide long non-coding RNA is filed under the name Vigna radiata. Its description in RNAcentral is "long non-coding RNA (VRAD_LNC016551)". The record is from RNAcentral. Lineage: Eukaryota; Viridiplantae; Streptophyta; Magnoliopsida; Fabales; Fabaceae.